This is a long non-coding RNA of Hibiscus syriacus, 993 nucleotides long. RefSeq lists it as uncharacterized. NCBI's taxonomy places the organism in Eukaryota, Viridiplantae, Streptophyta, Magnoliopsida, Malvales, Malvaceae. The transcript has 3 exons. The record is from RefSeq and is a predicted model, not a curated record.
CAUUCUGAUUUAUUCCUCACCUAGCAUCUACAUUGUUGUAUUCUAAAGUGUUCAUCAAAUUGCUUUUGAAGAAACUUUCUUCUUUUACUUCUGGAGAAGUUAGUACAUUUGGUGGGUUGAUAAGGGGUGUUGGUGGUGCAAUGCCUUCUCAUCCAAUAGCUGAUCCUCCUGUGAUGGGUCGUCUUGGAUCUGCUGCUCCAGAUUUGUCACCAAAUGGUCAAAAUGUCGGUUUUAGUGGUCAAGUUCCGGUAGAUGCAAUGACAAGGCCAGGUAGGGAUACUAUUCCUCUACCUCCAGAUGCUUCCAACACUAUACGUUGAAGGGUUUCCUCCUGACAGCACAAGGCGGGAAAUAGCCCGCAUCCUAUUUAGUGUAGUGCUUGAUAAGAUAUAUUGACCUGUUCAAUGAUACAAUAUUUUAACUUUUUUACCUGGCUUCCGAUUGUUGGUUCACAUUCCUUGAUCAAGGCUUUAGAUAUCUUUCGCCCAUUUGAUGGAUAUGAAGAAGUACGAUUAGUGAGCAAAGAACCCCGACAGCGUGGUGGAUCCUGUUAUCCUUUGUUUUGUUGAUUUUUCAAGUCCUGCAUGUGCGGCAACUGCAAUGAGUGCCUUGCAAGGUUAUAAAAUGGAUGAACAUGACCCGGAUUCUAAAUACUCGAGGCUGCAGUUUUCUCGACACCCCGGCCCAAGGUCGGGUCCUGGAACUCGUGGAAGGAGGUAAAUGUGACUUUCUUUCGGCAAAUAGGCUAUCUUUUUCUAUAUACGGUAAGAUUUUGAAGACGCACCAUCUUUAUGAAAUAGUACAUUUAAACCAUGUAAUUUAAAUUACUCGAUCCCGAUGAGCAUUUUCCUUAGAGAUUACCAGAAAUUUAGGAGUGUGGAUCAAGCAAUACUAGAAUUGCUUGCACGUUUCAGGAAUCCAUGUUGUACCAUGACUUAAGAGAUAUAAGAGCUAUUUUUGUUGUAGAGAUAAGAUCUUUGUAGCAUCUGCAAU